Molecule: non-coding RNA, 46 nt
Organism: Danio rerio (zebrafish)
Lineage: Eukaryota; Metazoa; Chordata; Actinopteri; Cypriniformes; Danionidae
Source: Rfam
ACAACGGCUCUUUUAAGAGCCAUCAUUAGCUAAAAUCUCACUCAAU